ACGUAGGGGGCAAGCGUUGUCCGGAUUUAUUGGGCGUAAAGAGCGUGUAGGCGGCCAGAUAGGUCAGCUGUGAAAACUCGAGGCUCAACCUCGAGAUGUCGGCUGAAACCAUCUGGCUAGAGUCCGGAAGAGGAGAAUGGAAUUCCCGGUGUAGCGGUGAAAUGCGCAGAUAUCGGGAAGAACACCCGUGGCGAAGGCGGUUCUCUGGGACGGUACUGACGCUGAGACGCGAAAGCGUGGGGAGCGAACAGGAUUAGAAACCCGCGUAGUCC
This 272-nucleotide ribosomal RNA is filed under the name uncultured bacterium. Its description in RNAcentral is "partial 16S ribosomal RNA". It matches the Rfam family "Bacterial small subunit ribosomal RNA", at positions 525 to 796 of the family's 1533-position model. The record is from RNAcentral.